UCAGAAUUUAUCUUUUCAGUUUUGGGCUU
This 29-nucleotide non-coding RNA is filed under the name Rattus norvegicus (Norway rat). Lineage: Eukaryota; Metazoa; Chordata; Mammalia; Rodentia; Muridae. The record is from RNAcentral.